RNAcentral lists this unclassified non-coding RNA (254 nucleotides) under Hevea brasiliensis (rubber tree). The record is from RNAcentral. Lineage: Eukaryota; Viridiplantae; Streptophyta; Magnoliopsida; Malpighiales; Euphorbiaceae.
AUUAGAGAUCAUGUUCAAAAUGGAGAUAUCAAAAUUGAGUUUGUUACUUUUGAAAAUCAACUUGCAGAUAUUUUUACAAAACCAAUCAUUGAGGAAACUUUUUGUAAAAUUAGAAGGGAAAUUGGCAUGAGUGAACCACUUGCUUGAAAUUCAAUUCAUAUUGAUUUAAUAUAUCUGCAUAUUAUCCAAUGUGUGAGUAAUUUGCUGUGAUAUAAAUUUGUUGAGAAAACUCUAAACAACAUUAGCUAACUUAU